This 221-nucleotide long non-coding RNA is filed under the name Physcomitrium patens. Its description in RNAcentral is "long non-coding RNA (PPAT_LNC004921)". Lineage: Eukaryota; Viridiplantae; Streptophyta; Bryopsida; Funariales; Funariaceae. The record is from RNAcentral.
AUGUUGUAUUUACGUAGACGCUGCACAGUUAGGAAUGGGGUUAUAUAUAAUGGAUAAAAAUUUAUUUUUGUAAGAUAUUACUAAAGUAGAUUAAUCAUUUCUAGGAUAGUCAAUUUCAUAGAUCAAAUGAUUGAAUUAGUUGUACAAAAUGGUGUCGUGAUGUAACAUGAUUAAUAGGUGAAAGAAUGUGGAGAUUAUUAUAAUUUAAGAGAUCUUAGUUC